CCCUUAGAUGUUCUGGGCUGCACGCGCGCUACACUGAUGCACUCAUCGAGUUUAUGACCUUGUCCGAUAGGAUUGGGUAAUCUUCUUAAAAUGCAUCGUGAUGGGGAUAGAUUAUUGCAAUUAUUAAUCUUCAACGAGGAAUUCCUAGUAAGCGCGAGUCAUCAGCUCGUGCUGAUUACGUCCCUGCCCUUUGUACACACCGCCCGUCGCUCCUACCAAUUGAGUGAUCCGGUGAAUAAUUCGGACUGCAGCAAUGUUUGGAUCCCGAACGUUGCAGUGGAAAGUUUAGUGAACCUUAUCACUUAGAGGAAGGAGAAGUCGUAACA
RNAcentral lists this ribosomal RNA (326 nucleotides) under uncultured eukaryote. RNAcentral's name for it is "partial 18S ribosomal RNA". It matches the Rfam family "Eukaryotic small subunit ribosomal RNA", at positions 1470 to 1796 of the family's 1831-position model. The record is from RNAcentral.